AUUGAACGCUGGCGGCAUGCCUUACACAUGCAAGUCGAACGGCAGCACGGGAGCAAUCCUGGUGGCGAGUGGCGAACGGGUGAGUAAUAUAUCGGAACGUGCCCAGUCGUGGGGGAUAACGUAGCAAAAGCUACGCUAAUACCGCAUACGAUCUAUGGAUGAAAGCGGGGGAUCGCAAGACCUCGCGCGAUUGGAGCGGCCGAUAUCAGAUUAGGUAGUUGGUGAGGUAAAGGCUCACCAAGCCGACGAUCUGUAGCUGGUCUGAGAGGACGACCAGCCACACUGGGACUGAGACACGGCCCAGACUCCUACGGGAGGCAGCAGUGGGGAAUUUUUGGACAAUGGGCGCAAGCCUGAUCCAGCAAUGCCGCGUGCAGGAUGAAGGCCUUCGGGUUGGUU
Molecule: ribosomal RNA, 399 nt
Filed under: uncultured bacterium
Lineage: Bacteria
Description: bacterial SSU rRNA
Rfam family: Bacterial small subunit ribosomal RNA
Source: RNAcentral